Molecule: non-coding RNA, 74 nt
Organism: Dallia pectoralis (Alaska blackfish)
Lineage: Eukaryota; Metazoa; Chordata; Actinopteri; Esociformes; Umbridae
Source: the annotation of a GenBank genome assembly
CCCUGUUUGGAGCAGUGGUUAGUGCGCUUGGCUGCGGAGCUGGAGAGCGCUGGUUUGAUUCCCCCCAACAGGUG